Molecule: long non-coding RNA, 504 nt
Organism: Xiphophorus couchianus (Monterrey platyfish)
Lineage: Eukaryota; Metazoa; Chordata; Actinopteri; Cyprinodontiformes; Poeciliidae
Exons: 2
Source: RefSeq, a predicted model, not a curated record
AAAUUUACAGAUUGUAUGUGUGUGUGAAGAAAACAGUCCGUGAUGUGUGUGUGUGUGUGAGGAUAGUCCAUGUAUAGUUUAUGUAAGGACUGUCACCACAAUGCAGACUAGUGACGAUCCUUCCAUGCGUAUUUGAACAAAAACAAUAACACACGGAGCUACAGCGUCUUACCUGUCUCAUCAUGCACUGCAGAAGGCCCUGCAUCAGCUUCACCACGCUCUGCCAAAUAACAAGAUAAGUACCAACAGAUACAACUUACCUGCUCCAGUUCGUAGGCCUUGGCUUUGUCUUCAUCGCGGUCAGCGUUCUUGCGAUAAGCCAUGCCCAGCCCCCACACAGCCAGGACACUGUACACGUUAUCCCUCACCCAGGCAUCCUUCUUCUGGAUGCUGGCAGGGAGAAGUCCAGUCACUGGGUUCUGAGGAAGGAAGAGUCCAGCUUACAGUCAACAGAUACGCUAAAUGUGUGCAAUUACACGUGCAAAAUAAACAAGAUUACAGCUG